RNAcentral lists this ribosomal RNA (496 nucleotides) under uncultured Capnodiales. RNAcentral describes it as "eukaryotic LSU rRNA". The stretch from base 159 to 312 matches the Rfam family "5.8S ribosomal RNA". Lineage: Eukaryota; Fungi; Ascomycota; Dothideomycetes; Capnodiales. The record is from RNAcentral.
CAUUACUGCGAAAGGGCCUCCGGGCCCGACCGCUCACCCUUUGUUGACACACUUGUUGCCUCGGGGACGACCCGGACGCCGACGCGUCGGCGUCGGGUCCCCCGACGGACCCUUCAAACUCUGUGUCUGUACGUCGGAGUACUUGAAAAAUCAAUUAAAACUUUCAACAACGGAUCUCUUGGUUCUGGCAUCGAUGAAGAACGCAGCGAAAUGCGAUAAGUAAUGUGAAUUGCAGAAUUCAGUGAAUCAUCGAAUCUUUGAACGCACAUCGCGCCCUUUGGCAUUCCGAGGGGCAUGCCUGUUCGAGCGUCAUUACACCACUCAAGCCUGGCUUGGUAUUGGGCGAGGAGGUCCCCUCCCGCCCCAAUUUCGUCGGCUGGACCGUCCGUAUCUCAGCGUUGUGGUAUUCAAUUCGCUGGCGAGAAGGAUGGGCCGCGCCGUUAAAAAUUUCUUUAAGGUUGACCUCGGAUCAGGUAGGGAUACCCGCUGAACUUAA